RNAcentral lists this long non-coding RNA (2728 nucleotides) under Canis lupus familiaris (dog). RNAcentral describes it as "lncRNA (ENSCAFG00000059230.1)". Lineage: Eukaryota; Metazoa; Chordata; Mammalia; Carnivora; Canidae. The record is from RNAcentral.
UGAAUAUAGAUACUUACUAUAUAUAAGAAUUGUUCUAGGUGUCACAAUUUUUUUUAAGUGAAUUAAAAACUGUCCUUUUUCCCUUAUGGAUAUCAUAAGCUAGCAGUAGGUGACAAAAAUGUAAACAAAAAAACCCACAUAGCAUUAUAGGUGCUAUGAGAGAGGUCUAAAUGGAGUACGGCGGAGGUAAUCAAGGAGAGAGUGUAAGAUCUGACCUGGCAGGAGGUGAGAAGGGUUCAAGGAAUGUUUUAUGACAGAGACAGAGUUUAAGUUAAAUCUUGACAGGUAAAGUCGUCUUCACUAGGAAGACAAGUUCUACUGUAGUGAUUAUUGGAUAUGAUUUAUCAAUACCUAUCAACACUUAUCUACCUACAAGUGUAGAAAGUGUAGCAGUAAAAAGCUUAAUAUUGAAAGUACUCUUCAUUUUUUAUUGUACGAUAUGUAUGCUUUUAAACCUAUGUGGUUUCUAAUUAAAUGCUUAGGACUCCCAAGCAGAAUCCAGAGAGUGUCUUUAGAAUGAAAAGCUGUACUUUAGUGAUUGAGUCAGUAAUAUAUUAAUUAUCAUUUUGAACUAGCUUGCUGUUGUCUAUUUAUUGGCCUUCUCAUAAAGUAUAUCAUUUAAAUUUAUUGGGAUGGAUUCUCCUUGUAGCAUGUAACAAGCUAUUAAAAACAGUGCCAGUGAAUAAAACAAUUACCCAAAAUCAUGGCUACCAGCUGAGCCAGAGGCUUGAUGGGUUAGUUGUCUGGAAAGCAGUGGCUAUGACAAGAUGGCUUUAUUUAAACCUCUUACAGCCCUGUGCAGAGGCACAAAGAAAACUCAUUUGCAUAUUGUCAGCUUUGUAUUAGAAAACAGACUGGGGGUGAAUUUAAAAGAAAGAUAAUGUCAAAAGAUUUUACAAAGGGACUUGAAGAAAGGUGGAAAAAGAGAAAUCAACAAUUGAAGAAAAGUGGAAAAAGAGAAUCUGCUACAUUUUUAUAUAUAAUCUCAUUUAACCCAAAUAUAGCACUAUAAGUGAAAUGUCAUUGUAUAUAUAUUUAUAUUUAAUACUUGAUGUGAUAGGUUCUGAGAUAUUAAUCAACUAGAAAAAGAAUACAUAGCUAAGCAGACGAACUGAGAUGUAAACCAGACUUAUCUAACAGUGAAGUCCAAACAUCUAUAUUCUACCAAGUUGUAGGUACUCAUAUUUAAUUGAUAUCAUUAUUACUAUCAUUAUCAUCAUUGUUACAUAGUGAUUUGAAUUAUAGGAAAACAAAACAGACUGCUCCAAAAAAGUGACAAGAUGAAGUGUUUCGCCCCUAAAAUUUCUUUUUGUAAAAAGCUUUUUAUUAUGAUUUAUUUGAGAGAGAGGGUAAGGGAACAAGUAAGGGGGAGGGGGAAAAGGAGUGGGAGAAGCAGACUCCUCACUGAGCAGGGAGCCCAACUCAGGCUCAAUCCCAGAACCUUAAGAUCAUGACCUAAGCCAAAGGCAGCCACUUAACUGAGCCACACAGGUGCCCCUUUUUUGCCCCUAAAAUUUCUAAAGAAGGGCCAGAUGACCAUAGAUAAAAAAGGAGAUUUCUGUAUACAGAGGAAGUUCAGACUAAAAAAUCCUUCCCACUUUUUCUAAUUCUUCUUUCUCCAUUAUAUUGCAUGUGGCUUACUCUCUAUCCAUUUGAGAUUACUUCCUGAUAUUUAAAAAUAUCACUUUCAAGAAUCUUUAUCCAUUCUGGUAUUGUUUCUUCUUCAAAUGCUUUCUUAGUUUAUGAACUACUUUUGCCUUGAGACUGAACUACUUGUUUUUGACUCCUCUUGCUUACGCCUCCCUACCCAGCUAGAUUUAGGGCAUUCUCUCUCUCUCUCUCUCUCUCUUUUAAAUUUCCACUGUAUUUUAUUUUAUUUUAUUUUAUUUUAUUUUAUUUUAUUUUAUUUUAUUUUAUUUUAUUUAUUUUAUUUUAUUUUUUCCACUGUAUUUUAAACAUAUUUUUAUUAUUGUUUUACUCUUACUUAUCAGAGAUAACAUAUGUGUUUCCAAAUCUACAUUAUAAGCACUGAGCUUAUAUUAUAAGCUCAUUGGGGAUCAAGAGGAAGUUAUUAAAAAUUAUUAGAGACAAAAUAAAAAACUUAACAGCCUUCUCUGGGGUUGGGAGUGGGGGAAUCUACAAAGCCAAAAUUGCUUCUCAAAUGGAUAGAGAGUAAGCCACAUGCAGUAUGAUGGAGAAAGAAAGAAUUAGAAAAAGUGGGAAGGACUUUUUAGUCUAAACUUGCUUUCUAUACAGAAAUCUGCCAAAAUUGCUUUGUAGAUUCCAAAGACAUGAACACUGCUAUCCCAUAAAGCCAGUGUCACCAUUCACUUUUCUAGACUAUAUUUCUAACUCUGUCUAGUCAUAUUCCUUAAACUAUGCCUUCUUUAUUCCUAUAUAUGGAAGUUUGCUUAUAUUCUGUGACUUCUCAGAAUAAUCUACCUCAGAGAUGUCAAGUAAGUUGCCUACACAAUAUUAAGAUGGUUGAAGGUAGCUGCCUGGGUGUUAGUACAAUAAGAAGGGUGACUCUAUAUGUGUCAAAGAACACCAUGAGGACUCAAAAAGUAUCUAUAUGAGUAAAGACGGGGGCAACAUGUGUGCCUAUGCUGGUGAUCUUAAUGCUGUAUCUUGCAUUUUCCUCAUUCAAAGAUCCCCUCCUAAAACUUUCACUUGACUAGAAAAGACCACAUUAAAGCCACUAAUAAAAAUGCAAAGAAAAAGAAAAAAA